AUUGAACGCUGGCGGCAUGCUUUACACAUGCAAGUCGAACGGCAGCGCGGGCUUCGGCCUGGCGGCGAGUGGCGAACGGGUGAGUAAUGCAUCGGAACGUGCCCAGUAGUGGGGGAUAGCCCGGCGAAAGCCGGAUUAAUACCGCAUACGACCUGAGGGUGAAAGCGGGGGACCGAAAGGCCUCGCGCUAUUGGAGCGGCCGAUGUCGGAUUAGCUAGUUGGUGGGGUAAAGGCUUACCAAGGCGACGAUCCGUAGCUGGUCUGAGAGGACGACCAGCCACACUGGGACUGAGACACGGCCCAGACUCCUAAGGGGGGGAACAGUGGGGAAUUUUGGACAAUGGGGGCAACCCUGAUCCAGCCAUGCCGCGUGCGGGAAGAAGGCCUUCGGGUUGUAAACCGCUUUUGUUCGGGAAGAAAUCCUCUGGGCUAAUACCCCGGGGGGAUGACGGUACCGGAAGAAUAAGCACCGGCUAACUACGUG
Molecule: ribosomal RNA, 484 nt
Filed under: uncultured bacterium
Lineage: Bacteria
Description: partial 16S ribosomal RNA
Rfam family: Bacterial small subunit ribosomal RNA
Source: RNAcentral